ACGAUGUGGAGUUGCGAAAACAACCAGGAUGUUGGCUUAGAAGCAGCCACUCAUUCAAAGAGUGCGUAAUAGCUCACUGGUCGAGUGACUCUGCGCGGAAAAUUCAACGGGGCUAAAAUCAUAACCGAAGCUUGGGAUGCAAUUAAUGCAUGGUAGGGGAGCGUUGUGUAAGGGGUGAAGUCACAGCGGAAGCGGUGGUGGACAUUACACAAGUGAGAAUGCCGGAAUGAGUAGCGCGAAUUAUGUGAGAAUCAUAAUGGCCGAAAGUCUAAGGUUUUUGGAGGAAGGUUCGUCCGCUCCAAGUUAGUCGGGAGCUAAGGUGAGGCCGAAAGGCGUAGCCGAUGCACAUACGGUAGAAAUUCCGUAACCGUCGAAGUAUUUAAGCAAAGGGACACUUUGGGAAGGUACAAGCCAGGCGUUGGUAGCCCUGGCCGUAAGGGACUGAAAAUUAGUAGGGAAGUGUACUGGAACAGAGGCGAGAAAAGCUUUGUGUAUAUACAAGACGCCCGUACCGCAAACCGACACAGGUAGAUGGGAAGAGAAUUCUAAGGCCAACGGGAGAAGGGUUGUUAAGGAACUCGGCAAGUUGACCCCGUAACUUCGGAAUAAGGGGUGCUCACGAGAGUGAGCCGCAGAGAAUAGGCCCAGGCAACUGUUUACCAAAAACACAGGUUUGUGCUAAAUCGAAAGAUGACGUAUACGAGCUGACGCCUGCCCGGUGCUGGAAGGUUAAGAGGAGAUGUGCAAGCAUUGAAUCGAAGCCCCAGUAAACGGCGGCCGUAACUAUAACGGUCCUAAGGUAGCGAAAUUCCUUGUCAGGUAAGUUCUGACCCGCACGAAAGGCGUAAUGAUUUGGGCACUGUCUCAACAGCCCGCCCGGCGAAAUUGUAGUACCGGUGAAGAUGCCGGUUACCCGCGACAAGACGGAAAGACCCCAUGGAGCUUUACUGUAGCUUAAUAUUGGAUUUUGAUAUUUCAUGUACAGAAUAGGUGGGAGACUGAGAAGCAGAGGCGUCAGCUUCUGUGGAGUCGCCUUUGGGAUACCACUCUUGAAGUGUUGAAAUUCUAACCUGCGGCCGUGAAACCGGUCGGGGGACAUUGUUAGGUGGGCAGUUUGACUGGGGCGGUCGCCUCCAAAAAGGUAUCGGAGGCGCUCAAAGGUUCGCUCAGCAUGGACGGAAACCAUGCCCUUGAGUGUAAACGCAUAAGCGAGCCUAACUGCGAGACGGACAGGUCGAGCAGUAACGAAAGUUGGAGUUAGUGAUCCGGCGGUAUGUGAGUGGAAAUGCCGUCGCUCAACGGAUAAAAGCUACCCUGGGGAUAACAGGCUGAUCU
This 1335-nucleotide ribosomal RNA is filed under the name human gut metagenome. Its description in RNAcentral is "bacterial LSU rRNA". It matches the Rfam family "Bacterial large subunit ribosomal RNA", at positions 1070 to 2488 of the family's 2925-position model. The record is from RNAcentral.